Molecule: ribosomal RNA, 440 nt
Filed under: uncultured bacterium
Lineage: Bacteria
Description: partial 16S ribosomal RNA
Rfam family: Bacterial small subunit ribosomal RNA
Source: RNAcentral
CCUACGGGAGGCAGCAGUGGGGAAUAUUGGACAAUGGGGGAAACCCUGAUCCAGCGACGCCGCGUGAGUGAAGAAGUAUUUCGGUACGUAAAGCUCUAUCAGCAGGAAAGAAAAUGACGGUACCUGACUAAGAAGCCCCGGCUGACUACGUGCCAGCAGCCGCGGUAAUACGUAGGGGGCAAGCGUUAUCCGGAUUUACUGGGUGUAAAGGGAGCGUAGACGGCAGAGCAAGUCUGGAGUGAAAUGCCGGGGCUCAACCCCGGCACUGCUCUGGAAACUGUGAAGCUGGAGUGCAGGAGAGGUAAGCGGAAUUCCUGGUGUAGCGGUGAAAUGCGUAGAUAUCAGGAGGAACACCGGCGGCGAAGGCGGCUUACUGGACUGUAACUGACGUUGAGGCUCGAAGGCGUGGGGAGCAAACAGGAUUAGAUACCCGUGUAGUC